GCCUGCUCUAUGUAAAAAUAAAAUGGCCGCAGAAUUCCUGUGCUAAGGUAGCAAAAUAAUUUGCCUUCUAAUUAUAGGCUAGCAUGAAAGGUUUUCCAUAUUGAUUUCUUUAUUAAAUAAAUUAUCUUAACUUAACUUUUUAGUAAAAAGGCUAAAAUCCUUUAAAAGGACGACAAGACCCUGACAAACUUCACUUUCUAGUUUUACUGGGGAGGUAUAAAAAAAUUGUCUUUUUUAUUAUAAAUAACAGAAAAAUUCUAUUAUUUUACAAGUUACUGCAGGGAUAACAGCAUAAUUUUUUCCUAAAGUCCUUAUAUAAGAAAAAGUUUAUGACCUCGAUGUUGAAUUAGAUAACUAAAAAGAGCAAAAUCUUUUUAAGUAAGUCUGUUCGACUUUUAAUUUUCUACAUGAUUUGAGUUCAGACCGGCGCAAGCCAGGUCGGUUUCUAUCCUUUUUCAUAAAUUUUUAGUACGAAAGGACCAAAAUUUAUUUUAUUUUC
This 499-nucleotide ribosomal RNA is filed under the name Nemesia sp. CRBAMM001004. Its description in RNAcentral is "partial 16S ribosomal RNA". It matches the Rfam family "Bacterial large subunit ribosomal RNA", at positions 1857 to 2711 of the family's 2925-position model. The record is from RNAcentral. Lineage: Eukaryota; Metazoa; Arthropoda; Arachnida; Araneae; Nemesiidae.